This 494-nucleotide ribosomal RNA is filed under the name uncultured bacterium. Its description in RNAcentral is "partial 16S ribosomal RNA". It matches the Rfam family "Bacterial small subunit ribosomal RNA", at positions 28 to 507 of the family's 1533-position model. The record is from RNAcentral.
GACGAACGCUGGCGGCGUGCUUAACACAUGCAAGUCGAACGGUGAAGCGCCUUCCUUUUUGGUGGGUGUGGAUGAGUGGCGAACGGGUGAGUAACACGUGAGUAACCUGCCCCCUUCUUCUGGAUAACCGCAUGAAAGUGUGGCUAAUACGGGAUAUUCUGGGUCUGUCGCAUGAUGGGUCUGGGAAAGAUAUUGUUUCGGUGGGGGAUGGGCUCGCGGCCUAUCAGCUUGUUGGUGGGGUGAUGGCCUACCAAGGCGGUGACGGGUAGCCGGCCUGAGAGGGUGGGCGGUAACAGUGGGGCGGAGACACGGCCAAGACUCCUACGGGAGGCAGCAGGGGGGAUUAUGGAACAGUGGGAGCAAGCCUGAUGCAGCGACGCCGCGGGGGGGAUGGUGCCCUUCGGGUUGUGAACCGCUUUCGCCGGUGAAGAAGGCCGGCCGCGUUUGUGGGUGGGUUGACGGUAGCUGAAUAAAAAGCGCCGGCUAACUACGUG